Molecule: long non-coding RNA, 665 nt
Organism: Haliotis rubra (blacklip abalone)
Lineage: Eukaryota; Metazoa; Mollusca; Gastropoda; Lepetellida; Haliotidae
Exons: 3
Source: RefSeq, a predicted model, not a curated record
UGUCAAGUCGAGUAGCUAAGUACACUGGACGCCAUGUGUUAUUUGCGACGGCGGCGCUGAUACAUGCUGCUGUCUUUACUACACUUUACCUCUGGACGCCAAACGAGACGGAUACAAAAUAUAUAAUCAUGUUGCCUGUUGGCUGGGCAAUAGCUGAUAGUAUUUUCCUGCCACAGAUAAUAUCAUUGGUUGCUCUGUACUUCCCAGAAAAGAAGGAACCGGCAUUUGCUAACGUCCACACUUGGAUAUCCCUUGGUUCGACGUUAACGUUCGCUCUGAGCAGCAUCUUAUGUGUAUAUGUCAAACUGUACACCAUGUUUGCCCUGUUGGUGACCGGUAUUGGGAUGUAUAUAGUGGCAGAGAUACUUUACAAAAUGGAAACAAAGAAAUACAUGAGAAUAAACGAAUAAAAUGGAUGAAUAGUAUACUCAUAUUAACAGGGAAAAUUCAUGGAUGUUAUCUUCUUUGAUAUCUUCAUCACUUGUUGAAUGAGUAAGAAAGAAUACACUUGUAAUCGUUGUUUUCCUCAAAAUACAUUUUUGCCAACCACAAAUCACCCGAUGGAGGAGUAACAAUAUACUCUGAAAUGAUGUGUUCCUUAUAGUACAGAGGUUGACAUCCAUGCAUCUUCCCUUUCAUGUGAAUCACUUCCAAAUUCCAUUCGA